This 372-nucleotide unclassified non-coding RNA is filed under the name soil metagenome. RNAcentral describes it as "partial contains 5.8S ribosomal RNA, internal transcribed spacer 2, and large subunit ribosomal RNA". The stretch from base 1 to 120 matches the Rfam family "5.8S ribosomal RNA", at positions 35 to 154 of the family's 154-position model. The record is from RNAcentral.
GAUGAAGAACGUAGCGAAAUGCGAUAGGUAAUGUGAAUUGCAGAAUUCAGUGAAUCAUCGAAUCUUUGAACGCACAUUGCGCCCUUUGGUAUUCCGAAGGGCAUGCCUGUUCGAGCGUCAUUAUCACCCCUCAAGCCCUCGGCUUGGUGUUGGACGGUUUGGUGGAGGCCCCCUCGGGGGCUCCUGCCCCUCCCAAAGACAAUGACGGCGGCCUCGUUGGACCCCCGGUACACUGAGUUCUUCACGGGACACGUAUCGGACACAUGGGUUUACGGGACACGGUCUGCCUCCCCUCAGGGAGAAUCUUUCUAAGGUUGACCUCGGAUCAGGUAGGGAUACCCGCUGAACUUAAGCAUAUCAAUAAGCGGAGGA